GUAGGGAUCAUUCUGUGUUAAAAUGUCUACAAGAGUGCUUCUGUUCUGCUUGCUUUUGCUGCUCACGUCAGGAGUUCAAGGGUCAUCUGGCUCAUACCGAAAGCCUGUGUGUGCUGAGAUGGCAGAGAUCCUGCCAUGUCCAAUGAACCUCGCACCUGUGUGAGGUAGUGACGGAAACACCUACGCCAACGAGGGCUUGCUGUGUGUGGAAAGACACGUACCAGGGUUGCCCACCAUUCAGAACUGAAUUGAGAAUGCCUUUUAAUUCCAAAUUACUGUCAAUUUACUGAAUUGCAAUUCAUUGAUUUCCUAUUCCCAUCAUUCCAAUAGAGCGCAACAGUCAGGUUCCAUAAGUAAAAAUUCCAUUAAUUUGUUCCAUAGACAAACUGAUUUUCAACAAUGACUUGUAAACCUUAAAGACAGACUGACCAUGAGCUCAGAGGUGGUCCAGCAGAGAAAGAUCCACCAAUCGGAGAAGCACUGCCAACAAAGCCUGCCAAACAAGUCCAGCAGCAACCGCCCAUUUCAGUGACACACUGGGAAUGACAUAAUGGAGUUGGAGUCCCUACACCCUCAAACUGCAUAUCUAUUUGUAUAUGUCAGAAUAUUUUUCAGUAAACCUAAAAUAUAUUGUUUCUAUACGUAUAAUUAGCAACUUAAAUCCAAUAGUUUUAUAUAUUUCCAUUGUUUUUUGUUUUUUUUCCAUUUAUGUAAUUCACAAUGCUUCAUAGGAUUGUAGUUCAUGCUCUUGUGAAAGAUGGUAAUUACACUGAAAAAAAAAAUUAUGUGUUGGAUUUACUUAUAUAAUAUACAGUUGUGCUCAAAAGUUUGCAUACACUUGGAGAAUUGGAAAUAUAUGUACCAUUUUUAAAGAAAACAUGAGUGAGUAGGCAAAACACAUUUCUUUUAUUUCUUAUGGGAUUCAUAUUCAACUGUAGGUUAUAACAGAAUGGCACAAUCAUAAAACAAAACAUGGCAAAAAAGACAAAAUGAAAUGACCCCUGUUCAAAAGUCUGCAUACCCUUAGUUCUUAAUACUGUGUAUUGCUCCCUUUAGCAUCAAUGACAGCGUGCAGUCUUUUGUAAUAGUUGUCUAUGAGGCCCCAAAUUCUUGAGGUGGUAUAGCUGGCCAUUUGUCUUGGCAAAAUGCCUCUAGGUCAUGCAGAGUCUUUGGUCAUCUUGCAUGAAUCUCCCCAGAGUGGCUCGAUGAUAUUAAGGUCAGGAGACUGUGAUGGCCACUCCAUAACUUUCACCUUUUUCUGCUGUAACCACUGGAGGGUCAACUUGGCAUUGUACUUAGGGUCAAUGUCAUGCUGGAAAAUCCAUGAGCAUCCCAUGCGCAGCUUUCGUGCAGAAGAACGUAAAUUGUCUGCUAGUAUUUUCUGAUAACAUGCGGCAUUCAUCUUGCUAUCAAGUUUCACAAGAUUCCCCGUGCCUUUAGAGCUCACACCCCCCCAAAACAUGUGAGCCACCACUAUGCUUCACAGUGGGGAUGGUAUUCUUUUCACUAGAGGCCUUGUUGACCCCUCUCCAAACAUAGCACUUAUGGUUGUGACCAUAAAGCUCUAUUUUGGUCUUGUCACUCCAAAGGCGUGUCAAGGUGUUGUCGGGCAUAUUGUAACCAGGCUUUUUUGUGGCAUUGGUGCAGUAAAGGCAUCUUUCUGGCAACUCGACCAUGCAGCUAAUUUUUGUUCAAGUAUCGUCGUAUUGUACUCCUUGCAAAAACCACACCAUCUUUUUCCAGAGCAGCCUGUAUUUCUCCUGAGGUUACCUGUGGGUUUUUCUUUGUAUCCUUAACAAUUCUUCUGGCAGUUGUGGCUUUAAUCUUUCUUGGUCUACCUGACCUUGGCUUGGUAUCAAGAGAUCCCCAAAUUUUCCACUUCUUAAUAAGUACAGCACUGACUGGCAUUUUCAAGGCUUUGGAUAUAUUUUUAUAUCCUUUUCCAUCUUUAUAAAGUUCCAUUACCUUGUUACACAGGUCUUUUGACAGUUCUUUUCUGCUCCCCAUGGCUCAGUAUCUAGCCUGCUCAGUGCAUCCAUGUGAGAGCUAACAAACUCACUGACUAUUUAUACACAGACACUAAUUGCAAUUUAAAAAGCCACAGGUGUGGUAAAUUAACCUUUAAUUGCCAUUAAAACCUGUGUGUGUUACCUUGUGUGUCUGUAACAAGGCCAAACAUUCAAGGGUAUGUAAACUUUUGAUCAGGGCCAUCUGGGUGAUUUCUGUUAUCAUUAUGAUUUAAAAAGGAGCCAAACAACUAUGUAAUAAUAAAUGGCUUCAUAUGAUCACUAUCCUUAAAUAAAAGACAGUGUUUUUGCAUGAUCAGUCAUAUUUUCAAAAUUAAUGCCAAAAUUUAACAAAUUCUGCCAGGUUAUGCAAACUUUUGAGCACAACUGUAUACACAGAUGAGCCAAAACAUUAUUACUACUUGCCUAAUAUGCUGUUGGUCCUCUGCGUGCUGCCAAACAGUGCCGACCCACAGAGACAUGGACUCUACAAGACUCCUAAAGGUGUCUUGUAGUAUCUGGCACCAAGACAUUAGCAGCAGAUACUUCAAGUCCUGUAAGUUGCGAGGCUGAGCCACCGUGGAUCGUACUUUUUAGUCCAGCCCAUCCCUGGUGCCAUCACUUCCCCAGGUAAAUGGCGAAAACGUACAAGGCCAUCCAUUUAAUGUAAAAGAAAAUGGGACUCAUCAGACCAGGCGACCUUCUUUCACUGCUCCAAGGUCCAGUCCCGAAGCCCGCGUGCCCAUUGUAGGCGCUUUCAACGGUGGACAGGUGACAUCAUGGGCAAUCUGACUGGUCUGCGAGUACGCAGCCCCAUACGCAGCAGGGUGUGAUGCACUGUGUUGUGACGCAUUUCUCCCAUAACCAUCAUUACAAUUUUCUGUGACUUGUGCCACAGUAGACCUUCUGUCGGUUCGGACCAGAUGGGAUAGCCUUCGUUGCCCAUGCGCAUCGUUGAGCCUUGGGGCCCAACACCCUGUCUUUUUUGGUUUGUGGUUUGUCCCUCCUCGGACCACUGUCGGUAGGUACUCACCACUGUUGACCAGGAGCACCCCACAAGCCUUGCCAUUUCAGAGAUGUUCUGACCUAGUCAUCUGGCCAUAACAAUUUGGCCCUUGUCAAAGUUGCUCAGGACUUUACUCCUGCCCAUUUCUCCUGCAUUCAACAUGUUGACUACGAGAACUGAUUGUUCGCUUAACAUCUAGUCUACCCAGAUCUUAACAUGUGGCCAUGUUAGGAGAUGAUCAGCAUUAUUUGAUUCACUUGUGAGUGAUCAUAAUGUUUUGACUCAUCGGUGUAUGUAGCAGUUAUGCAUCACACUUUUUAAGUAAAUUCAAUUUAUGGUCAUUUUAUGUCAGCAUAACAAGUAAACCUUUGUUAGAUGUACACAAACGUAUCAGUUCAUUAAACAUUAUUUACUUAAAAAGGUAUGUCACACAAAUAAGAUCAACAACUAAUAGCGUGUUUUUUCAAAUUAACUUUAAUAUUAUUGUCUCUUUCUUAAUUUGAUAAACUAAAAAAAAAUUAGUGAGGUCAAACAAUAUAUUCCCUAAAAAAAUUAAAAUACAGCUGCACUUCAGCUAUACACAUUCACAUGGGCAAGUAAAAUUUUUAUGUAUUUAACAGGAUUCAACUUCACCAAAGGGAUCACUAAUCACCCUAAUGAUGACUUUGCAUUAAACGAAAAAUUGCAGUAAAACAACAAUAAUACAAAAAAAAAGCUACAAAUUUACAGUAUAUGAAUUUUUAAUAACAAUGAAUUAAAGGCCCCAAUAAGUUCCCUUUGACCAAACAAACGCCUUCAUUAUUUAAAAGAAAGAUAUUACGAGUGUUCCUCACAACCUCAGUUCUGUACCUGAUCAUCUGAGUUAGUAGCAGGGGCGGUGCCAGGAUUGGUGUGUCACUUGGAUACAAAAACAGAGGGGAGCUCCGCCCCUGGGUAGUAGUACAUAAAAUCGUAAUUUUAUGGAUUUUUAAGACAAAGAUGUUCAAGGGACUAACAAUUAUUCUUUUACCUAAAUUCACCUUAUAAUUAUUUUGUGUUGUACACAUUAAUGCAAAUACAUUACUGGAGUAGAUCAUAUUUUUAUGUACUGAAAAUUGCAGAUUCUUAUUGCAGUCUGAUAUUUUUUUUAGGAGAACCAAAUCAGAAAUUUUAAUCAUGAGAGACGGCGACUUGCAAAAUACAGGAUCACAAAGUUUAACGACAAAAAUAAAGCAUCUAAAAUUAAACUGCUGUACUACUUUAUUAUUUUGUUUGACCCUGUCAAAAUGGUCCUGCAAAAGAGUGCUGCUCUUCAGAAUGAGAGGACAGGUGGAGGCAAUGACUGAGUCAUUCAUAGAGAAUGUGGUGGAGAAAGUGCUAUUGGAACAGCCCAGACAUUACUGAAAAUUUACGGAGAAGACUAAAUAGCGUGCUGCUGAUUACCACAGACCAACUUGCAAUGGAUAUCUAUGGGGCAAUGCACGGCAUUAGGAUAAAUAUUAAAGUGCAUACUCUUUUGAAAGUAUAGCCAAACGUAUACAUUAACAUGAGACAUAAAAUUACUAACUUACUAACCUGGUCUAUGCAAAGUUAUAUACAAUCUUUCAACUCCUGUCAUGACAAUGUAAAGCCAUUAAACCCUGCUGAUAAACUUUCAAAUGAAGUGUGUAAGGGUACCAGAAAGAGACCGUUUACAUAGAGAAAAAUCCACCCAUAGAAAUGUAGUUGGUAACGCACAAUUUAGAAGUUCAUUUGUCUAGAACAGUAGUAUCAACGAUAAAGGUAAAAAUGUCUAAAUUAGAAAAUGUAGGUAUUUUUCCAGAAUUUCUCAGGUUCCAUCAGCUCAGCUCCUAUAUACUGGUUAUAUACUGUAUACUGUAUAUAAUCUAACAAAUGUACUUAAUUUAAAUCUAACUGGUUUUAUUAAAGUAAAUGUUAUUGCUAUUUAUCUGUACUUCAACAGGCACAAAAGACACUUUUAUAAGUUGGCUUUUUCAGGGUUGGAUUUCUAUUUUUAGAUUGCAUUCUAUCUGGAUUUGUUCAAUCCAAAUUUCUCUGCCCGCAAGUUCAUUGACUGCCAUGGUUGCAAUAAAGACAAGCCUGCAGGAAAACAAACAGCACUGAAACUGUUUUAACAAGCAUUAAAAUAAAAUAAAAUAAAUACACAGAAUUAUAUGUAAUUCAAUGCAAAUUUAUAAGUAUACGUGUUUUGGGUUUGAUUUCAUUCUGGGUUAUUGGAAGAAACACAAACCUUCUAAUGUGUCAGCACUGUCAUAUUGCAGGGAUUUAUAAGUUUAUAUUUCUUAACAAAUAUUACAAGUAAUUGUUAAUAACAUCUGUCUAAACAUUCUAUUUUAAUGCUUUCAGGACCAAUCACAGUGAGAUUUGUUUUGUUACUUAAAGAGUAAGAGUACACAUCACUCAACCUCCACCAAUCAAAAUGAUAUUGAAAACAAUCAGAUAACACUUUACAGUAGUGUCAAUGUUACACAUAUUACUACAAUGAAAUAACAACACCAAUGUAUAAGCACGUGUUUUUCUUUAAUAUUACUCGAUUUAUGUAAUAACACAGUAACAACGUAAAGUUGGACUGACAAUCAAACAACUGAUCCUGUAUGUAUCUUCCAAUAUUGUAUUAUUAAGUAAAUAAUAAAAAAUAAAAAAAAUCUUAAGUGUUCUUUGAGUACACAAUCAUAGAGGAAACAAGUUUGUAUCACAUUUUAAAGGCACUUAGUCUUUGAACUUGUGCAACAUUUACAGUAGUCAGUUAUUCUUUGAGGUGUGGUUCUUCGCCAGUUACUUUUUGUAAAAUUUACAAGGCUUAAUUUGAGCUUAAAGUAAACAUGAAAUCAUAACUGAUUCUAUUAUUUCUAAAUGCAUUUUCCUUAUAGCGAAUGAUUCAUCGGUGCAUGCUCUUCCAAAGGAAAAAAAAAAAUUGUCCUUGUAAUCUUUUAUCAAUAUGUAAUAACUUGCUCUUCCACUGAAACUACUUUUCUUUUUUAAAGACAUCCCUUUAGCCGUGCAGGCCAUUGGAUAGCCAAAAUUGCUAUUUGGGCUUUUUCAGGUCUGGUUUCAUCCUGGUAUGUAACGGCCACCUUUCUUGAUUUAAUCAAUUCCUGCCCUAUAUAUAUAUAUAUAUAUAUAUAUAUAUAUAUAUAUAUAUAUAUAAUGUAUAUGUGUGUGUGUGUGUGUGUGUGUUUUUAUUAUUAUUAUUAUUUUUUUUUUUUUUAUAUCCUCUUUCAGUUGGAAAUAAAAGACUUUGUGAACCAUUUAUGUAGACUUGAAUUAAAAUGUAGAAAAAGCAAUUCACAUGCCUUUCAGGAAGACAUGCAUAAGCCCACAUUCUGUUUUUUCCAGCAAGAUUCCUUAAUCAGAAAUACUGCCAGUGCCAAGCAUGUCUUUCUAGUUCAAAAUAAAUGUAUUUCAAAUAUUUGAAAUUAAAUGUGUAUAUGUGUAUAUAUAUAUAUAACACACACACACACACACACACACACACACACACAGUACUGAGCAAAAGUUUUAGGCACUUUGGAAAAAUAUUGCAUAGUGAGGAUGUCUUCAAAAAUAAUGCUAUAAAUUGUUUUCAUUUAUCAAUUAAAGUCAUACAAAGUCCAGUAAACAUAAGAAAAGCUAAAUCAAUAUUUGGUGUGACCACCUUUGCCUUCAAAACAGCACCAAUUCUCCUAGGUACACCUGGAUACAGUUUUUGGCAGAUAGGAUGUUCCAAGCUUCUACAGUUUUUUUUAUCUAUUUUGGCUGUCUCAAUUGCUUCUGUCUCUUCUUGUAAUCCCAGACUGACUCGAUGUUCAGUGGGGGGCUCUGUGGGGACCAUGCCAUCUGUUGCAGUGCUCCCUGUUCUUCUAUCCUAUUCUAUUCUAUUUGCAAAAUAAAUGUUUGGGAGUCUAAAAUGUAUAUUUCCUAUUGAAAAUAUAAAUAACCAUCUUAAGACAAAUGUUUUUGUGAAAAAUCUUAUGUGCCUUAGA
Long non-coding RNA from Myxocyprinus asiaticus (Chinese sucker), 6974 nucleotides. RefSeq lists it as uncharacterized. NCBI's taxonomy places the organism in Eukaryota, Metazoa, Chordata, Actinopteri, Cypriniformes, Catostomidae. The transcript has 3 exons. The record is from RefSeq and is a predicted model, not a curated record.